UACGUAGGGUGCGAGCGUUAAUCGGAAUUACUGGGCGUAAAGCGUGCGCAGGCGGUGAUGUAAGACAGAUGUGAAAUCCCCGGGCUCAACCUGGGACCUGCAUUUGUGACUGCAUCGCUAGAGUACGGCAGAGGGGGAUGGAAUUCCGCGUGUAGCAGUGAAAUGCGUAGAUAUGCGGAGGAACACCGAUGGCGAAGGCAGCCCCCUGGGCUAGCACUGACGCUCAGGCACGAAAGCGUGGGGAGCAAAC
RNAcentral lists this ribosomal RNA (250 nucleotides) under uncultured bacterium. RNAcentral's name for it is "partial 16S ribosomal RNA". It matches the Rfam family "Bacterial small subunit ribosomal RNA", at positions 524 to 773 of the family's 1533-position model. The record is from RNAcentral.